CUGUUUUUGGGAGAAAUUAUCCAGAGUUUGUUUGUAGGCAAUUAGCCUUUUUUUAUUUUGGAUUUAUCUGCAAGUGACUUGACAUUUAUUGAGCAGAAAUGUCGUAUGCUCCUGGAUUGGUGAUGUCGAUUUUUGUGGCUGCUGAAGCCCUCCCACCCCAGCCCACGGAACCACUCCCACCCCAACCGCUGCCAGCCCUCCAACCGCAACCGGCUCCUCAUCAACCAAGGCAACGGAGGCGUGCUAGGCCACCAAUUUUCCGUACCCGUGUCCUCCUUUUUGGGAUGCCUGAUGAUGUGGUUUUGCGAAGAUACAGGCUGCCACCUCAUCUAAUCCUAGACACUCUCUCCAUAAUAGAGAGUGAUCUUGAAUCUUCAAUUCGGUAUCCUACAGCAAUAACACCAUUGACACAAUUCCUUGCUGUGUUACAUUUUGUUGCCACUGGUUCAUACCAGCAUGUGGUGGGAGAUCUGGUUGGCAUGUCGCAGGGCCAGUUCAGUAAGGUCCUACGGCGUGUCAGCCAGGCUUUCAUCAAGCGUGUAAAGCAAUUUAUUGCUAUGCCUUUGGAUGUUGGUGCCCUAGAUGUGGUGAAGCGGCAAUUUGAGGAAGGUGGUAGUCGCUUCCCACAUGUUAUUGGGGUUGUGGAUGGCACACAUGUAGCUAUUGUGCCACCAAGACAUAAUGAAGAAAUUUAUAGAAACAGGAAACUGUUUCAUUCUCUGAAUGUAAUGGUUGUUUGUGGGCCAUCCCUCCAGAUCCUG
Pseudophryne corroboree (corroboree frog) is the source of this 761-nucleotide long non-coding RNA. RefSeq lists it as uncharacterized. The record is from RefSeq and is a predicted model, not a curated record. NCBI's taxonomy places the organism in Eukaryota, Metazoa, Chordata, Amphibia, Anura, Myobatrachidae. The transcript has 3 exons.